This 274-nucleotide ribosomal RNA is filed under the name uncultured bacterium. Its description in RNAcentral is "partial 16S ribosomal RNA". It matches the Rfam family "Bacterial small subunit ribosomal RNA", at positions 523 to 796 of the family's 1533-position model. The record is from RNAcentral.
AUACGGAGGGUGGGAGCGUUAAUCGGAAUUACUGGGCGUAAAGCGUACGUAGGCGGUUGGUUAAGUUAGAUGUGAAAGCCCCGGGCUUAACCUGGGAACUGCAUUUAAAACUGGCGAACUAGAGUUGAGUAGAGGGGAGUGGAAUUUCAGGUGUAGCGGCGAAAUGCGUAGAGAUCUGAAGGAACACCAGUGGCGAAGGCGACUCCCUGGACUCGAACUGACGCUGAGGUACGAAAGCGUGGGUAGCAAACGGGAUUAGAUACCCUAGUAGUCC